CGGUAUGUCAUGCAUUUACCUUUCCUCAUUGUUUUCUUAUAGUCCUUAAUUUUAUAUAUUUAGUUGAUUUCUUUUUUAUGAUGUUUUAUUUACUUAUUUGAUUUUUCUGAGUUAUUCGAUUUUUGUAUGAUUUUGAUUUGUUGAUGUAGAUUUUAUUUUGGGAUUCUUUUCCUUGAAUUGUUGAUCUUAGUUUGAUUUUGCAUUGUGUUCACUGUAAAACUGCCCAUUUUCCUUCAUGAUAUAUUUUAUUUGUGAAAUCAGUUGAUCUGUAUUGGUUUCUGUUAUAUCAAAGCAUAUGUAUGUUUCUUCCACUAUAAACAGCAAAAGAAUAGCCAGUGGAAAACAGCUGAUAUUUAUUGAAUAAUCUUUCCUUGAAGUAUAACAUUACCUUGCAUGUCUAAACAAUUGCCUUAUAGGCUGGCAUUAUCUUUGGACCAGCUGUCCUAAGUUGCAACGAAACAUUCCUGGACUCAGUUUUUUAAGCAAAAGAGAUGUGGGUUCUGAACAACAUUCUUUGUCUUUCUUAUGGCUGUGAAAACACAUUAAUGCUGCGUAAUCGGCACAAUUGUGCAUUGGCCUCAACUGGUGCUUCCAAUUAAUUAUUUAUAAAUUUUGGAGUUCUAGAGUUAAUUAUAACUGUAAUCUUUGACUUUUUUUUUUCAAUUGUUAUGAUCCUUUCCUUUUUUUAACAUUUUUCUAUUUCUUCUUUCUCAGCUGGUUUCAUUUUUGUAUGCAGAUAAAUUUGAUUGUAUUGAUACUUUGUGCAUCCUGCAACAACAGAACUCCAAUUCUGGCUAAGCCUUGAGCAUACUCCACCGUGUUAUCUCCUCCAAAGGGCCUGAUGCACUCUAUAGAGGAAUGGGUGCACUCCCGGCAUCAAUCACCUUUCAGAUAACAAGAUGUUUAAGAUCUGAGAGGAAUGUCAGCAAGGUCAAACCUGGUGUUGCUUAUCCUGUUUUAACAUCAAACACUCCCAAGGAGGUUGUGGUAAGUUGAUUUAAUUCUUCAAUCAGUUUUUGGAUUCCUGUCUUGGAUCAUUGUAUGAUAUUCUUUACAUUCAAAUUUUUCUAACAUUCGAUGAUUACACAAUAUGGAGACUUAAUAUGGUAUCUACUGUUAUUGGGGUGUGGCUGACACUUUAUUUGCUAAUCUUUCCUUUAUGUUUUUAAAUUUUUAUAUGCAUUUCCUAUGGUAGAUAGAUUGAAAUUUUAUAUUGUUCUCUUUAAGUACAGCCUGGUAAAGUAUGUUCACAGCUUGGUUUAUUCAUAAAGCCUGUAGAAGGACAUUAUGAGUACUUCCUCAAACUACUUUAGAUGUAAAAUUUAGAAAGAGAAAAGUAUAUAAGACUACUAUUAGUUGUUGUUGUUAUUACUAUUAAUUUUGUCUUUGUAGUUGUAUUUAUUUUUACAGCUUUUUUGGCUCAUAAAUAUAGCAAUUUAUGAGCAACCAAUUAGAGCUGCAGGCAUGAGAUUAGUAACCUAUCAAUCUUUCAUCUUUUUUAAUCGUACAUGUACAGAUGAAUGAAAACACAGAAGAUGGCAUAGAAGGGAAGAACAUGGAAGGAGCAGCAGUGUAUCUUGGAGCUUAUGAUGAAGAAGAAUCUGCAGCAAGAGCAUAUGAUUUGGCCGCUCUCAAGUACUAGGGAACUUCAACUUCCACAAAUUUUCCGGUAUCUGAAUAUGAGAAAGAAAUUGAAAUAAUGAAAAUUCUAACAAAAGAGGAGUACCUUGCAGUUGAAAAAGGAGAAGCAGUUGUUUCUCCGGAGGGGCAUCCAGAUAUAGAGGAGUUGCGAGGUAAGCAAUAUUCUUUCACAAUUGAUAUUACCUCUAUCAUGUUCAUAACUACAUAUUAAUCUGAGUAAUUGUAACUCUGCACUGCAGGCACCAUCACAAUGGAAGAUAGGAAGCAAGAAUAGGGGGUGUUUGGAAACAAGUAUCUCUAGUUAGGCAUUUACAGUGAAUUUAACUGCCUUAAGCUAUUGAUUAUAUAUUCUAGGUUGGGGCAUAAAAAUUUACUAAAUAAUUAAAAGAAAUAUAAAAAACUGUUGAAAAGAAAUUAAAAUUUAAUAAUAUAGUAAAAAAAAUUAUAUAUUCAACCCGAUUGCAAAUUCAUCUUUUAUGUGUUUUUCCUACAUGGUAUCUUUAGCAUUCACAAUUUUUCACCUUUUCUUUUUCUGGUUACUGGGUUUCUAUCAUAUCCCACUCUGAAGUUUUUUACCCUGUUCUGGCAAUAGAAGGAAAAGGAAUAUAACAGCUUUUAAUUUGCCACAAUUUGAUGUUUUAUUUAAUUUUUUUUUUUUUUAGGUGAGUGAAAUUAUGAAGAAAAAUAAAUUUAUUAUUUUUUAAAAUAUUGUUCUUCCCUGAUAUAUUCAGGUCUUCUUUUAGAAUUUCUUGCAUUCUUUUUAGUCUUUGAUGAUUAAACACUUUUUGGUCCUGUAAUGCUAGAGAAAGAAAAGAAGGGGAACUAUCAUGUAUAAACUUUCUCUGUGAACGUUUGUGUCUACUAUUAUUUUUCAGGAUCUAUUUGAUGUUUCUACGACCUUAAGUUUAUAUGGAGCUGUGUAAUAUUGGAUAUUUAUUUGUCUUUACCUCGAUUUUGUAGGAUGUAUGUGCUUAUGUAAUAAGUUCUUGAAGGGAGAUGGAUUGGUGGACACUGAGGAUGUGAUGAUAUUUAUAGCUUGAGUUUAAUAAACUCAUAUCAACUAUAAAUUCAAUUUUCUAAUUUAGUCCAUGUUUUCGUUUUUGCAAACGGCAUAUAAGUUGUUUUUUAUUUAUAAUUUGAACCAUUUGAGAAGUGAAAGAAAAUCAGUAUUCUGGAUUAUUUCUU
RNAcentral lists this unclassified non-coding RNA (2826 nucleotides) under Hevea brasiliensis (rubber tree). Lineage: Eukaryota; Viridiplantae; Streptophyta; Magnoliopsida; Malpighiales; Euphorbiaceae. The record is from RNAcentral.